Molecule: ribosomal RNA, 1224 nt
Filed under: Triticum aestivum (bread wheat)
Lineage: Eukaryota; Viridiplantae; Streptophyta; Magnoliopsida; Poales; Poaceae
Description: partial small subunit ribosomal RNA
Source: RNAcentral
AUGCUGAAGGCUCUUCCCGCGCGCUUCCUCGUCUCACCGGAGCCCUGGGGGCGGCGCCGGAGGCCUCGCCCACGAUCUCUACGGCCGAUUUCGGCGGCGCUGAUGACCAACCCCGCGUACUUCGAGGUCGGCAGAUUGUUGGGUAACUAUGGCUUCAUGAACAUCACAAGCUAUUCAUCUUCUCAGUCUGGAGGGCUUCCAAACGAUGCUGUUAAUCAAGACCUUAGUCUUGGAUAUUCACCGGAAGAGAUUGAGCGAUUAAGAGUCCAAGAUGUUGGAGAGGGACAAGUGAAAAUUAGACUUUACGAGGGAAGAGUGGUGCAAGGUCCAUUGAAGGGCACACAAACUGUAUUUAAGGUAUACCCUGGAGCUAUUGCUGGUGCUUCUGAAGCUAAUUUGAUGGCACUGAAUGAGCUGAGGACUCAUGCUUUUCUUCAGAGUGAUGCAAGGGAUAUCUGUGAGAACAUUCAGUUUCUGUUAGGAGCAUUUGAGACAGCUACUGGAGAGCAGUGGCUUGCUUUCCGUGAUGAUGGGAGAUACAGUGCUGCAGACUAUGCAAAAAUAACCAGUGAAAGGCAGUUGAAGGAACGGCCUAAUUUUUGGAAUCCCUAUGAUCGUGCAUACAAAUUGGAACUGAGGAAAUAUUUUGUCCUUAGGCUGCUUAAUGGAGCUAUGUGUGGCCUUGUCCACAUGCACAAUCAUGAUAGACUGCACCAAAGCCUUGGCCCCUCUUCUGUUGUUCUCAACACUGUUGCAGAGAAAAAUGGAUACUAUUUACUUCCACAGCUCCGUGAUUUGGCAUUUUCUGUAGAUAUCGGGUAUUCCUCUGUUGGGGUUGGAGCGUUGUCAGAUGGUCUUUGGCGUCGAGCAUCUGCUGCUGGAGCAUCAACUCCUUUGGAGAAGCGAGCUUUUGGAGUAGCUGAUGACAUAUAUGGAGCUGGGUUGCUUAUUGCAUACAUGGCAUUUAUUCCGUUUUGCGAAGCAGGCAUCAUGGAUAGCAUUUCCUUGCAGAGGCUCUUGGAGAACACUUUCCGUCUCGACAUUUAUGCUGCAAGAGAGUAUUGCCUGGAAGAUGAUAAAUUGUCGGAAGCUGUAAACUUUCUAGAUUUAGGUGAUGGUGCCGGCUGGGAGUUGCUGCAGGCAAUGCUUAAUCCGGAUUACCGUAAACGACCAAUUGCUGAGGCUGUACUGAACCAUAGGUUUAUUACAGGGGCUCUAUUGUAG